RNAcentral lists this ribosomal RNA (385 nucleotides) under uncultured crenarchaeote. RNAcentral's name for it is "partial 16S ribosomal RNA". It matches the Rfam family "Archaeal small subunit ribosomal RNA", at positions 474 to 859 of the family's 1478-position model. Lineage: Archaea; Thermoproteati; Thermoproteota. The record is from RNAcentral.
CACCAGCCCCUCGAGUGKUGGGGAUGAUUAUUKGGCCUAAAGCRUCCGUAGCCGGYUCGGUAAGUCUCCCGUUAAAUCCAGCKUCUYAASCGAUGGGCUGCGGGAGAUACUGCYKGGCUAGAARGUGGGAGAGGUCAGCGGUAUUCWGGGGGUAGGGGUGAAAUCCUUUGAUCCCYGGAGGACCACCAGUGGCGAAGGCUGYUGACUAGAACACGUYUGACGGUGAGGGACGAAAGCUGGGGKAGCGAACCGGAUUAGAUACCCGGGUAGUCCCAGCCGUAAACGAUGCARGCUAGGUGUUGGGUUGGCYACGCGCCACCCCAGUGCCGCAGGGAAGCCGUUAAGUCUGCCGCCUGGGAAGUACGAUCGCAAGAUUGAAACUUAA